GCAUAUCAUAAGCGGAGGAAAAGAAACCAACAGGGAUUGCCCUAGUAACGGCGAGUGAAGCGGCAACAGCUCAAAUUUGAAAUCUGGCCCUCGGGUCCGAGUUGUAAUUUGUAGAGGAUGCUUUUGGUGCGGUGCCUUCCGAGUUCCCUGGAACGGGACGCCAUAGAGGGUGAGAGCCCCGUCUGGUUGGACACCAAGCCUCUGUAAAGCUCCUUCGACGAGUCGAGUAGUUUGGGAAUGCUGCUCUAAAUGGGAGGUAUAUGUCUUCUAAAGCUAAAUACCGGCCAGAGACCGAUAGCGCACAAGUAGAGUGAUCGAAAGAUGAAAAGCACUUUGAAAAGAGGGUUAAAUAGUACGUGAAAUUGUUGAAAGGGAAGCGCUUGUGACCAGACUUGAGCCCGGUUAAUCAUCCAGCCUUCUGGCUGGUGCACUUGGCCGGCUCAGGCCAGCAUCAGUUCGGCGUGGGGGAUAAAGGCUUCGGGAAUGUGGCUCCUCCGGGAGUGUUAUAGCCCGUUGCGUAAUACCCUGUACUGGACUGAGGUUCGCGCAUCUGCAAGGAUGCUGGCGUAAUGGUCAUCAGCGACCCGUCUUGAAACACGGACCAAGGAGUCGUCUUCGUAUGCGAGUGUUCGGGUGUCAAACCCCUACGCGUAAUGAAAGUGAACGCAGGUGAGAGCUUCGGCGCAUCAUCGACCGAUCCUGAUGUUCUCGGACGGAUUUGAGUAAGAGCAUACGGGGCCGGACCCGAAAGAAGGUGAACUAUGCCUGUAUAGGGUGAAGCCAGAGGAAACUCUGGUGGAGGCUCGCAGCGGUUCUGACGUGCAAAUCGAUCGUCAAAUAUGGGCAUGGGGGCGAAAGACUAAUCGAACCUUCUAGUAGCUGGUUUCCGCG
This 891-nucleotide ribosomal RNA is filed under the name Cosmospora berkeleyana. Its description in RNAcentral is "LSU rRNA". It matches the Rfam family "Eukaryotic large subunit ribosomal RNA", at positions 38 to 962 of the family's 3401-position model. Lineage: Eukaryota; Fungi; Ascomycota; Sordariomycetes; Hypocreales; Nectriaceae. The record is from RNAcentral.